This 83-nucleotide transfer RNA is filed under the name Planctomycetota bacterium. RNAcentral's name for it is "Planctomycetes bacterium tRNA-Tyr". It matches the Rfam family "tRNA". Rfam says of the family: Transfer RNA (tRNA) molecules are approximately 80 nucleotides in length. Their secondary structure includes four short double-helical elements and three loops (D, anti-codon, and T loops). RNAcentral also lists the same sequence under 1 other name. The record is from RNAcentral. Lineage: Bacteria; Pseudomonadati; Planctomycetota.
GGGGGAAUACCCGAGUGGCCAAAGGGGCCAGACUGUAAAUCUGGUGGCGUAAGCCUUCGCAGGUUCGAAUCCUGCUUCCCCCA